GAUGAACGCUGGCGGCGUGCCUAAUACAUGCAAGUCGAGCGAACGGACGAGAAGCUUGCUUCUCUGAUGUUAGCGGCGGACGGGUGAGUAACACGUGGAUAACCUACCUAUAAGACUGGGAUAACUUCGGGAAACCGGAGCUAAUACCGGAUAAUAUUUUGAACCGCAUGGUUCAAAAGUGAAAGACGGUCUUGCUGUCACUUAUAGAUGGAUCCGCGCUGCAUUAGCUAGUUGGUAAGGUAACGGCUUACCAAGGCAACGAUGCAUAGCCGACCUGAGAGGGUGAUCGGCCACACUGGAACUGAGACACGGUCCAGACUCCUACGGGAGGCAGCAGUAGGGAAUCUUCCGCAAUGGGCGAAAGCCUGACGGAGCAACGCCGCGUGAGUGAUGAAGGUCUUCGGAUCGUAAAACUCUGUUAUUAGGGAAGAACAUAUGUGUAAGUAACUGUGCACAUCUUGACGGUACCUAAUCAGAAAGCCACGGCUAACUACGUGCCAGCAGCCGCGGUAAUACGUAGGUGGCAAGCGUUAUCCGGAAUUAUUGGGCGUAAAGCGCGCGUAGGCGGUUUUUUAAGUCUGAUGUGAAAGCCCACGGCUCAACCGUGGAGGGUCAUUGGAAACUGGAAAACUUGAGUGCAGAAGAGGAAAGUGGAAUUCCAUGUGUAGCGGUGAAAUGCGCAGAGAUAUGGAGGAACACCAGUGGCGAAGGCGACUUUCUGGUCUGUAACUGACGCUGAUGUGCGAAAGCGUAGGGAUCAAACAGGAUUAGAUACCCUGGUAGUCCACGCCGUAAACGAUGAGUGCUAAGUGUUAGGGGGUUUCCGCCCCUUAGUGCUGCAGCUAACGCAUUAAGCACUCCGCCUGGGGAGUACGACCGCAAGGUUGAAACUCAAAGGAAUUGACGGGGACCCGCACAAGCGGUGGAGCAUGUGGUUUAAUUCGAAGCAACGCGAAGAACCUUACCAAAUCUUGACAUCCUUUGACAACUCUAGAGAUAGAGCCUUCCCCUUCGGGGGACAAAGUGACAGGUGGUGCAUGGUUGUCGUCAGCUCGUGUCGUGAGAUGUUGGGUUAAGUCCCGCAACGAGCGCAACCCUUAAGCUUAGUUGCCAUCAUUAAGUUGGGCACUCUAAGUUGACUGCCGGUGACAAACCGGAGGAAGGUGGGGAUGACGUCAAAUCAUCAUGCCCCUUAUGAUUUGGGCUACACACGUGCUACAAUGGACAAUACAAAGGGCAGCGAAACCGCGAGGUCAAGCAAAUCCCAUAAAGUUGUUCUCAGUUCGGAUUGUAGUCUGCAACUCGACUACAUGAAGCUGGAAUCGCUAGUAAUCGUAGAUCAGCAUGCUACGGUGAAUACGUUCCCGGGUCU
This 1372-nucleotide ribosomal RNA is filed under the name uncultured bacterium. Its description in RNAcentral is "bacterial SSU rRNA". It matches the Rfam family "Bacterial small subunit ribosomal RNA", at positions 28 to 1381 of the family's 1533-position model. The record is from RNAcentral.